GCCUUUGUGGUGCAGUGGUCAGCACGCUUGACACAUAACCGAGAGGUCCGUGGUUCGAUUCCCGGCGAAGGCG
This 73-nucleotide transfer RNA is filed under the name Stegodyphus mimosarum. It matches the Rfam family "tRNA". Rfam says of the family: Transfer RNA (tRNA) molecules are approximately 80 nucleotides in length. Their secondary structure includes four short double-helical elements and three loops (D, anti-codon, and T loops). Lineage: Eukaryota; Metazoa; Arthropoda; Arachnida; Araneae; Eresidae. The record is from Rfam by way of RNAcentral.